Molecule: non-coding RNA, 113 nt
Organism: Acanthosepion pharaonis
Lineage: Eukaryota; Metazoa; Mollusca; Cephalopoda; Sepiida; Sepiidae
Source: the annotation of a GenBank genome assembly
UAUGACCACAACGCGUUGAAACACCAGUUACCGUACGAUCAGUGAAGUUAAGCAACGUCGAGACAUGUCAGUACCUUGAUAGGUGACUGCUUGGGAAUACCAGGUGCUGUAAG